GCCGGAUUCUAUCAUCUCAGGCAAAUGGCUAGCUCUCUCCGACGACUAGCGACGCAUUCCUCUCAAGCCGCCUGGCGAUCUUCUGUGACGCCGCUAUGUAGACAAUUUGCGUCAGAAGCGUUGGUCGAAAUCAAGCCCGGAGAGAUCGGUAUGGUCUCUGGUAUUCCAGAUGAACAUCUUCGUAGAAGGGUUGUGAUUUUCUCUCCUGCUCGGACUGCUAGUCAACAAGGCUCUGGAAAAGUUGGCAGAUGGAAAAUCAAUUUCAUGUCUACCCAGAAAUGGGAGAAUCCAUUGAUGGGGUGGACAUCCACAGGGGAUCCAUAUGCCAAUGUUGGUGAUUCAGCACUUAGUUUUGAGAGUGAAGAAGCUGCAAAAGCAUUCGCUGAAAAGCAUGGUUGGGAAUAUACGGUGAAGAAACGACACACACCAUUGUUAAAGAUCAAGUCAUAUGCGGACAACUUUAAGUGGAAGGGACCUCCCAAGGCAGCAGAAUAAUUUAUUUUCUACUUCAAUUCAAGUACUUGAGGUGCUUGUGGAUGUUCUACCUAAUGCCCUGCAUUCUGUUUUCUUUUUUUUUUUACCUUCUCUAAAGUUGGGCAGAUCUCCUUCUUGAAGGAUUUAAUAAAUCAAACUUAUGAAAAUCCACAAGUACAUGCAAUGUCUUAAAACCUUUGUGAAGCAAUUUCCGGGUGUUUCUGUACUUGUGGGACAUUGUGUCGUGUCAAAACACUAGUAGCCUUGUUUUUCUCUCCAAAAGAAAUUAGCGUGUCAAAAUACUUACGAACUGUGAUUGUCGGUUGAGUUUGUUUCUUGUUCAAGUACAGAAACCACACUUCUUCUAGUGUACCAGUCAUAUGACGCUCUACAUAUAGACACGAAUUCAAACUAGUUUUAA
Molecule: unclassified non-coding RNA, 895 nt
Filed under: Hevea brasiliensis (rubber tree)
Lineage: Eukaryota; Viridiplantae; Streptophyta; Magnoliopsida; Malpighiales; Euphorbiaceae
Source: RNAcentral